Columba livia (rock pigeon) is the source of this 7251-nucleotide long non-coding RNA. RefSeq lists it as uncharacterized. The transcript has 3 exons. Lineage: Eukaryota; Metazoa; Chordata; Aves; Columbiformes; Columbidae. The record is from RefSeq and is a predicted model, not a curated record.
CACCAGACUGGUGCUUUUGUGAAGCCUUUGGCAGCUUUGAAAUGCAGACAUUAGUAAUGAAAUGUAUUGGCAAUCCUUACAAGAAGUUCAGCUAUUAUAAAGGACUUGCAAGGAGUGAAAUUUCUCGUGCCUUGCAGAUAUGAGGACGAUGCAAACUCAAUAUAAUGGACACUAUAGUAGUGAAGCACACUUGGAAAAAGGCAGAGAAGCUUCUGAGUUGCCUUUCAAAAUUUCUUCAAAAUAAUAAAAAGGACGAAUUAAGUUAGAGAUCCUAGCUAUAAAAGCAAAUGGGACUAAGGUACUGGAAGAAGCAGUCAGUAUAUCAAGAAACUACCUAUGAAAGAUUAUGCAUGGCACAGUACCAUGUUGAGGGGAAUAGCUAGGCUGACAUAACUCAUAGAGGCAGCCAGACAGAGGAAUAAUUUUCUAGUUAUCAACAGCUCACACAUGAGAUUUUUAUCUUCCACUCUACACUCUUUUUGCCCUGCAGAUAACAGCUUCGGUAGAGAAAGGAUGGGAGCUGGGAUAUAUUUUACUAUGAGUAUGACCACCUCACUAACUCAGGCUGUACAGAAGCCAAGAAGUGGGAAAAAUAUAUUCUUGCUUCACUGAUGAAGUAAAUGGAUUAAGGUGACAGUGUUUCCUCUGCAACAGACUGCCAAGUAAAGAGCUGCUUAUGAAUGCAUCUUUAGGGGUAUCGGCUGUUUCCUGCCAGGGAUAGCACCACAGACACUUCUUUAUGCCUGUAUCAACUUAAUCCAUUUUUGUCCCAGUGAGUAAAUGAGCAGUGAAAUGAGUAAUGAGACAAGUGAAGGUACGAACAGAAAAAUAGCUAGUACAAAGUUUACGUAUAAUUAAAACCAAAAUCAAAAUAAACAAAACAACAACAACCCCCACACUCACUCACAGGGCAAAUUGUAUGAAUGAGAAGAGGAAAGGCGGCUGUUUCCUCUGCCUGGCCAGAGGAUGAAGAAUCUCUCCAAAGUGUUCAGGCCCCUGAUGAGGCAGAUGGGUCAUCAGGAUCAGGGCAGGCACUGCACAGUUGCCUUUCAACACUUGAUUUGAAAAUCUCUUUCUCCCAUUUUAAACAGGUAACAGCAGAGUCACACAGGUAAAAUGUACAUAGGACCAGCUUACAUUAGUGGUUGGGUCAACGACAAAAGAAGUGAGCUUGAACUUUUUGCUCCAAAAAGGAAAACUUUAAAAUAACAUUUCAAAUCCCCUUUUUAGUUGUCUCAAAGGGUGAACUCUCCCCUUCUAAAGGGGAUACUGGGCUUUUUUCUUCUUUUCUCUCAUUUACAAAAUUACUUUUUGUGCACAUUCUAAUGCAUUUUAUAGAGUUUUUAAAAGACAGCUUUACCAGCUGUCAGCUCCCAGCUACACUUAACUUUCUAUGAUUUAGCACCUAUUCAGGCAAUGUUAACUUUACAUUUAAUAGUCAAUGAUUUUUACCUAAACACAAAAUAUAAACAUUUUUCAGGAGCUUAAUGCACCAAAAUCUACCCAGCUCUCCGUAACAUCAGGUCCUUUUUUCAUAACCUUGUUUCAUAUUUUGCAUAACACUUAAAAGGGGGAGGGUGGUGAAGGGUGGGGAGAAGCCCUCUAAUUAAGGCAGUUGAGUGGAAUGCUCUGGUAAGAAAAACUCAAUAUUUUCAUGUUUGCAAAAAGUCACUGGUCAGAUUAUAUGACCUCUUCUUAUGCAGGAAUUCAUGACAGGAAGUGCAGUGACUGUAGCAGCAUUAUCGCAUUACAGGGUCCAAGGACAUUUGUAGGCUCUGUACUAGUAGAAGAAGUAGAUAUGCAUCACCUUUUCUGUUUCUUCCCAUUUGCUCAUCCUCAUGCCGCACCUACGCAAUGCUUGUAAUGACUUUCCACUUUCAUUGUACAUUAUUCUCGUUGCCUUUCUCAAUGCCUUCCAUGCCCUGCACGUUUAUCAAGAUAAAUUUGGAUUCAUAAAGUUAAUAACUGUAACCCCAGUCCAGAGGAAGACAGCCAACCUAUGAACAGUUCCACAGACAUGACUACUUACAGGCUUAAAUUUAGGCAGGUGCUGCUGACUACAGAAAAAAGGUGCAGUGUUCCCAGCCCGUAUUUGAGUGGCUCUUCCAAGGAAAAAUAUUUGCAAAGUUUUUCAGACAGUGAAACAAUAAGCUAUCGCCCUCCUUGAACCCUUUCUUUGACUUCCAUCAUUUUUUUUCAGAUAAUUCUCACUCCCCCAAGUCUCUGUUCUCUUCCAAUAGUCAAUGCACGACAGGCUUAAAGCAACCUGGAUAAAAUUUGGCCAGGCUGGGGAAUGUCACAAUGAGGCUCAGUCAGGGUAAUACAGUUGCAGUCUUUGCUACUGCUCCCAUAAUAAGCUGAACAAUUUCCAUCAUCAUGUCCUGUACAUUGGGCUUAAUUGGCCCAGUCUCUCUGAGGAAAGGCAGCAAUAUUGAUUUACUGCACUGUAUAAAUGUGUUUAUAGCUUGGCACUAGCAUACUUAUACUCACUUUUUUCCAACGUGGAUUUCAAAUAAGCCCUUUGCUCAAAUGAGUUUAUUAACUUUAAAAUGCCUGAAGCUAAAUCUGAAUUAUGAGAGGUAAGCUUUGGGAAGCUCCAGGAAUUGCUCAUGGAGUCUUCUGUUAGUACCAGUUGUGACUGAUUUGUAAGCAUCACCAGUGGAAAAAUAAUUAAGUAAAAGCAAACCUGGAGGCACACAUCACCUCAGUCUGAGCUGCCUUUUGCUUCAGUUGGCACUCAGGCCCAGUGGAUUCUAUGGGAUUGCUUGAGCAGCUCUUGAUUUAAGCCAAUGUGAAAUCAGAGUAUAAUCUAUUGCUUCCUCUUUUUAUGAAUUUCAUUUUUAAUAGUCCUAUUUCCCUGUUUCUGUACUGGGCUGCAACAGACUGGGGAGAAGAUCAUCUGCAGUCCCUCCAGCAGUGGGUUUCAUGGGUCUGUUUUGGUCUCCAGUAUUUUAGAGGUGGGACACAGUUCCCUCUGUCACAGCCCGGCACUGCACAGAGCACUUCUCAGUGCUCAUCAGCGCUGCCCUGUAACGCUGCUGCAGGGGCCGUGCUGCUGCACCGUCCUUCAGACUUCCAUAUGUAACAACAAUUAUCAUCCCUGCAGGGGCAGUUAAUCAAGCAGAAAGUUUCAGCGGACCCCUAAGUACAAUCCGUAAUUACCUAUACCUCCUCAAGAUUAGGUCUCUCCAUCUAAGGAAUAAUACAAAUUUUCAGUUGCUAGUAGUUUGACUUUAUCUAGAAUGAAAAAAAGGAACACCUUAAUACCUAUGGAGAAAAAAAUAUUUGUAAAGAACAGAAUUAAAUUAAGAAAAGUAAAAUUUAGGAUGAAUGUCAGGGGUGAAAAAUGCCAUAGUAAUAUUUGCUAAACUGUGGAACAAUCUCCCAAGGAGAGUGAUGGAGUUCUGGGGUGUGAAGAACUAAAACUGCAUCAGGCAAAGCCUCAGGCAAGAAAAGCCUGAAGAAGCGGCUGUAGCAGCGCAGAGGUGGUGCAUGGCAACAGAAAGCCAUAGUAUGAGCUUCUGCUCAGACAUUUGCAGUGUAGCAAGUACAUUGUAUGUGAGAAGGCACACUGAACAUACAGGUGUCCUGUACUAAAAUCUGUGCAUAUUUCUUAGGUACAUAUGAUCUGCAUAGUUUGAAAUCCUACCUGCAUUUAAACUAAUGGAAAUUCUACAGGUUAAACACACAUCAAUCUGUCAGGGGACAGAUUGAAUCUGGCCAGUGAAUCUGGCUUCCAAUAUCUUUAAAGAUUCUUCAGGUUUAUAUGCAAGUGACUUUUCAAAGCAUCGCUAUGAGUUAGAACAUGAUUAUUACUGUGUAUUUAAAAUUUAAAAUCCUUUGAGGUUUUGGUUGGUUUCAUUUUGUGUGUGUGUGCUUUUUUUCAUUUGUGGUGGUAUGUUUUUUGUUUGGUUGGUUUUGGGUUUUUUUUGUGUUUUAUUUUGUUUUUUAAGUCUCCUUUUACUUUUACAAUUCUCCCUAGUAUUCAGCUCUAACAUGUACAGGUAGGAAAGGAGAGACAAGAGGAAAGCAUUUCUCACUUGCCAGAGGGAAAUAAAAAUACAACCGGACUUACUACGGAAUAAGAACUAGAUGCAUUUCUCUGCUAUGUUUUAUUUUGCUUGCUUCCCAGGGAUUUUGUUUGUAGUUUGUGGUGGAUAAUGAGGAAGUACAAUACCUCCUGUACUGCAGCCCUCUGGGGAAUCCCUUUUCUAGAGGAAAUUUUGAGCCCAAUAUUAUCACAAGUUAUAGUCCGAUCUGAGGCAGCAUGGCUGCUCUGUGAAUUGGGAACUGCUUGCUUCCCACCGUGCCAUCCAUUACAAAACCAUGCCUGCUGAUUACUUUUUGUGCCAGUGAGUUGUUUAUGUGAUGACAGAAAAACACCCUGUCUGUACACCAAGGUCAGGAUGCGAUGUCCCAUUCACUGUGGAGAUUAGCUCGCCUUGCCUCUUCUUUCUGAGUGGCAGCCAUAGGGAAGAGCUGCAGAUGUUACGAAGGGACACAAUUUUUAUUUAAACAUCAUAAUGUGCUGGUAUCAGAUUAUAAUACAAAUUGAACACUUUUGCAGAGUACCUAAAUUUAGGAAACAUUAUUUUCGCUGCAGUAUUUCUUGGUUCUGCUGUGAUUCAUAAAUACUGGAUUGCCUAGACAUUUAUUCAAAUGAAGGGCAUUGUGAUCAGACAAGGGAAAGUCCACAGAAGCUGCUUCAUAUAAGAUUCAGGCAACUUGCUCUAUGUACAAAGAUUUUACAUUCCAAAACAAAGGCACGGAGAUGUACUAGUCAUGACCCAUUUACCUGUUCUCUGGAGAUUUUUGUGUCUCCAUAAAACAAGAAACAGGGCAGAGAAGCUGAAAGUGAGGAAAUAGUCCAAAUAGACUGGAGACAGAGAAAGUGUGGGAAGCUGAGGGCAAGAGGGCUGGUGAGCUGAGUCCUGGAUGAACCCAACCUACAGGUGGGAGAAUGAAACCAUCUCCAGUGACUUGACUCCUACUGGGCGUGGGGAACACGACCUUCACAGGUAAGCAGGCUUGCUUUAAAGAUACCCUGUGACAACACCAAUUUUCCUUUUUAACACAGAAUACUUGGAGACCCUGCAUUUUGUCCCACCACUUAGAUCAAGGCACUCACAGCCAUCUUUGUCUCAUUCCCUUGCACCAGCCGUGAGGCAAAGGUGAUGGACUCUUUUCAAACUCUUAUCAUUUGUGUCUGUUCAGGUAAAAAAAGUGCCUAUUGCCACUCACCAGAUCCAUGAGAGGGCUCAAAAAAACAGACAUGGAAAAAGCAACGGCUGUAGCUACUGUCCUGGCUCUCCUGUAGAUGUUGGCUUUUCUAUUUGUUCAGGUUAGACUACUGCCACUUCACAGUGCACUGCAUCUGCUGGAAUGAGAUUGGUGCCAUUUGUAUUUAUCAUAUGUAUUUGUACUGAUAUUUCUUAUUUUUAUGUUUUGUAAAGCAUCUCCCCUACAAUUUUUGCUUUUACUGGACUGGCUCAAAGUGAUUCAUAGUGUGCGUUUGAUUAGCCAGGGGCUGCACAAGUUGGGAGACCCAAGAUCUCCCUGGAGCUCUACAGCUGCCUGGGUGACCCGAGGGAGGUUUCUCUCUCAGCCCCACAUCCUUUCAUACUAAUAGUUGUAGAGAUAAUAAUAGAGGUUUGCCUCUUGUACUUAAAAGGACUCCAGACUCUCAGCUGCAAGGUUGUCCUACAUUAUGCAGUGUAUCUAUGUCUCCUCUGGUGUAUCCAAUGCCUUGACAUUAAAGGGUUUUUCCUUGCAAAGAAGGCUUUUAUUUUCUUUUUAAGUUCAGGAAUCAUGAGAUCAGGAUGCUGGGUUUUUUUAGUUUACCACAAAACCAGUCAAUCAGUGAAAGGUUUUAACACAUUUUCUCUUGCUCCAAAGGAAAAAAAAAAAUGUUGUCCACUGCAAUUCACACAAUCUAUUAACUAAAAGGGUUAGACAGACCUUGGGGAUACAACAGGCAUACGUAAUCAACAGAAAAGUCUGUCCUGCCUAGCCAAAUUUUCUCAUGGGGACACAAAUGCCAAAAUGCUGUGACUUUGACGAAGCUGGGGCCUCCUGGUAGCACACAGAUUUUCAUUUGUGGGAAAUGGAGGCAAGGCUACAGCAAAGCAGGGGCUCAAAUCACAGCACACCCCUGCUACACACAGGUUCAGCAAAGAUGCCUGAUCCAGCCAAAAUGUGCAUAAUCAGCCUUGGACACAAGACGAAUAGUUGUGAUGGAAGCUGAAUCUUUCUUUUGUUCUUUAUAUUUUCUGCCUUUUCUUUGGGUUUGUUUUCCUCUCUUUUCUUCCUUUGCAAUUGUCAAGGAAGCAUCUGUGAGUUUUACUAAACAAAUGUUACACAUUAAAAACCCAUUUCUGCCUGCCAGAAAUGAAAAUGGCAUCUUAUUUGAAAACAAUAUGUAAUUGUUAUUGCUGUCUUGUUGCAAGUUACGCCCUUGAAAAAUUACAGGGACUUAUUUAGUAGCAACUGAUGCUGAGGAAAAGCAUUAUAACUAAAGCAGAAAAUUAACUGUUGCUUUAUCUUUGAGAAAUACAAAACACAGUUCCAAACACCAUAAUCCAAAUGGCUGACAUAUUUUGCUCUUAAAUGUGUUUACAAGCACUUCAAGGAAAAAGUACUAAUACUUAAAGGACAGAAUGAAGUUAAAUUAGUUCCGUGAGCGAGGCUGCGCUGGGCCAAGGCCUGUGCUGCAGGGACAGCGAAUCCAGCCCAGCUCCCAACAGGAGGAGGAACGGACCUACUGCAAGUAUUAGAACACCAACUUGGAGAAUGCCUAUAGGUCCAACGCCAAUAUGCAAUGCCUGGAAAUACAAUUUUUACCAAAAGUCGGCACCUUGAACACCUGCACUGCCAGGCAAAACAGCUAACAGUCACUUCUGGAUUUUUAUUGUUAAUUUUAAAUUUUUUCUUCUUUUUUUUUUUUUUUUUCUUUAUUUUGUAUUUUCUAUUAUUAAGUCAUAUUAAGUAACUUAAUUAGUAUUAACAGCUUUUUACAAAGCAGAGCAGGAAACACAGAAGACUGCUCACCAUAGCUCUAUGUUGGAAACCCUUGGAAACCUAGCAUUAAUUUCAGCACACUAUCAAAGCCCCCCCUCUCAGUAGAAAUUUAGCCACUAUUUUUCACAGUUACCUGCUAUUUAUUCAACAAGCAAGUUAAAUGUAAUUUUCCCCUCACACACCAGGGAAAACAUAUAAAUACAUUUUUAUUAUAAAUUAUGGAAAGAUUUUAUA